This 744-nucleotide ribosomal RNA is filed under the name Enterococcus sp. M334. RNAcentral's name for it is "bacterial SSU rRNA". It matches the Rfam family "Bacterial small subunit ribosomal RNA", at positions 56 to 769 of the family's 1533-position model. Lineage: Bacteria; Bacillati; Bacillota; Bacilli; Lactobacillales; Enterococcaceae. The record is from RNAcentral.
UGCAGUCGUACANUUGUAUCUUUCACCGGAGCUUGCUCCACCGAAAGAAAAAGAGUGGCGAACGGGUGAGUAACACGUGGGUAACCUGCCCAUCAGAAGGGGAUAACACUUGGAAACAGGUGCUAAUACCGUAUAACACUAUUUUCCGCAUGGAAGAAAGUUGAAAGGCGCUUUUGCGUCACUGAUGGAUGGACCCGCGGUGCAUUAGCUAGUUGGUGAGGUAACGGCUCACCAAGGCAACGAUGCAUAGCCGACCUGAGAGGGUGAUCGGCCACACUGGGACUGAGACACGGCCCAGACUCCUACGGGAGGCAGCAGUAGGGAAUCUUCGGCAAUGGACGAAAGUCUGACCGAGCAACGCCGCGUGAGUGAAGAAGGUUUUCGGAUCGUAAAACUCUGUUGUUAGAGAAGAACAAGGAUGAGAGUAAAAUGUUCAUCCCUUGACGGUAUCUAACCAGAAAGCCACGGCUAACUACGUGCCAGCAGCCGCGGUAAUACGUAGGUGGCAAGCGUUGUCCGGAUUUAUUGGGCGUAAAGCGAGCGCAGGCGGUUUCUUAAGUCUGAUGUGAAAGCCCCCGGCUCAACCGGGGAGGGUCAUUGGAAACUGGGAGACUUGAGUGCAGAAGAGGAGAGUGGAAUUCCAUGUGUAGCGGUGAAAUGCGUAGAUAUAUGGGAGGAACACCAGUGGCGAAAGGCGGCUCUCUGGGUCUGUAACUGACGCUGAGGCUCGAAAGCGUGGGGAGC